AAAAGGAAAGGAAAAAUCUUAAAAGAUUCGUGGCACAAGUUCGGCAUCUAAGAUUCGAUUCCAAGUAGGAGCACAUCUCGAGGAGCAGUUUGAGUCCGAGUUUGGAGUGUCUUGGAGUUGUGGUGAGCUGCUUGGCUGUUCCGUGGCCCACACCUCCCUCUAUAUUUUUUAUUUAUUCUGUUAUUCAGUAUUCAGACAGGAUAUCCCUUAUGUUAGAUUUGCCUUUUUAGUUUCAGACUUGCAUCGUAUUUUAGAAGCUCUUGUACUCAUGACACCAUUUCUUGGGUAGUAUUUUUUUUCAGUUUUCCGCAUUCGUACUUAUAAGAACUCAGUGUUGGAGAUUUGGAAA
Molecule: long non-coding RNA, 349 nt
Organism: Solanum pennellii
Lineage: Eukaryota; Viridiplantae; Streptophyta; Magnoliopsida; Solanales; Solanaceae
Exons: 2
Source: RefSeq, a predicted model, not a curated record